This 528-nucleotide ribosomal RNA is filed under the name Salmonella enterica. RNAcentral describes it as "partial 23S ribosomal RNA". It matches the Rfam family "Bacterial large subunit ribosomal RNA", at positions 665 to 1191 of the family's 2925-position model. Lineage: Bacteria; Pseudomonadati; Pseudomonadota; Gammaproteobacteria; Enterobacterales; Enterobacteriaceae. The record is from RNAcentral. RNAcentral also lists the same sequence under 3 other names.
GCCGGAGGGAAACCGAGUCUUAAUUGGGCGUUAAGUUGCAGGGUAUAGACCCGAAACCCGGUGAUCUAGCCAUGGGCAGGUUGAAGGUUGGGUAACACUAACUGGAGGACCGAACCGACUAAUGUUGAAAAAUUAGCGGAUGACCUGUGGCUGGGGGUGAAAGGCCAAUCAAACCGGGAGAUAGCUGGUUCUCCCCGAAAGCUAUUUAGGUAGCGCCUCGUGAAUUCAUCUCCGGGGGUAGAGCACUGUUUCGGCUAGGGGGCCAUCCCGGCUUACCAACCCGAUGCAAACUGCGAAUACCGGAGAAUGUUAUCACGGGAGACACACGGCGGGUGCUAACGUCCGUCGUGAAGAGGGAAACAACCCAGACCGCCAGCUAAGGUCCCAAAGUCAUGGUUAAGUGGGAAACGAUGUGGGAAGGCCCAGACAGCCAGGAUGUUGGCUUAGAAGCAGCCAUCAUUUAAAGAAAGCGUAAUAGCUCACUGGUCGAGUCGGCCUGCGCGGAAGAUGUAACGGGGCUAAACCAUG